AUGGCAGCUUCCGCCGGAAAGAAAGAGGCCGCCUGGCCUGCCACCAUGGCGCGGUACGAGCGGCUCGAGAAGCUGGGAGCGGGCAUCAACGGGGAAGUGUUCAAGGCGUGGGACACCCAGGACAACCUGAUCGUCGCCGUCAAGCGGCUCAGCGGGAGCGGCGACGACGGCUUCAUUAUCUCCGGCCUACCGGAGGUCAUGCGGGAGGCCAUGUGCCUGGGAGCCUGCCGCAGCAUCCCCUCGAUCGUGCAGCAUCGCCGGACCUACGCUGACGCAUGCUCCGAGACCGGCGACUCCUUCAUCGUGAUGGACUACGUCGGGCGCCUCAACCUACGCGGCUACAUGCAGCGCCGGGUCCGUCUUCGUCGGGCGUUCUCCGAGGACGAGGUGCGCCGGAUCAUGAAGCAGCUCGUGGAGGGGGUGAAGGCCGUGCACGGCGUGGACAUCCUGCACCUCGACAUCAAGCCGGAGAACGUGCUCCUCGACGACGGCACAGAGGACAGGACGCAGAGGCCCAAGAAGGGGGCCGUGGAAGCCGAUGUUCGCGGCGAGGUCAAGGACAACCGCAUAGUCUACAAGAUCGGCGGUUUCGGGAUGUCCACGAAAGGGCGGGGAAAGAAGCAGCCGGAGGUGAUUAUUCUGACGCCGUACAGCGCGCCGGAGCUCCUGCUGCACUCGCGCGAGUACGACGAUCGCGUGGACACGUGGGGGCUGGGAUGCAUAAUGGCCGACCUCCUCUCGGGCACCGGCGCCUCCAUGUUCGACGGCGAGUCGGACAUAGAGAUCAUGGCUAAAGUGUUUGGCAUCGUCGGCACGGAGGGGAUCAAGGAGUGGUCUGGAUACUCGGGGCUAGCGGCAGAUCAGAAGUCGAAGCUGCCGGGGAAGGGGGGCGUCAGCCGCCUUCGGCAAAAGUUUCCCAGUCGCAAGUUGUCGUCGGCCGGGUUCGAGGUGCUCAGCGGGCUGCUGGAGAGCAACCCGGAGAAGCGGCUUACCGCAGCGGAGGCGCUUCAGAAGCCUUGGUUCGGCAAACAACGACGUGGCUUUGCUGGUUUCUUCAAGUCGUGCAUGGUUGGAGUCCUACCGGAGAUUUAG
This 1092-nucleotide ribosomal RNA is filed under the name Triticum aestivum (bread wheat). RNAcentral's name for it is "partial small subunit ribosomal RNA". Lineage: Eukaryota; Viridiplantae; Streptophyta; Magnoliopsida; Poales; Poaceae. The record is from RNAcentral.